Jatropha curcas is the source of this 1098-nucleotide non-coding RNA. Lineage: Eukaryota; Viridiplantae; Streptophyta; Magnoliopsida; Malpighiales; Euphorbiaceae. The record is from RefSeq and is a predicted model, not a curated record.
UUGAAAUCAGUAGGUAUCGUCAAAUGGUUUAGAAUGGGGCAAAUGGAGGUGAGGUGUUGCAUAAUGGUGAUACUUAUAUUGUAGAUUUGAAGAGUCAUACAUGUCCAUGUAGAAUGUGGGAGGUGUCUGGUAUUCCUUGUUUUCAUGCUAUAUGUGCAAUCAAUGAUCUUGGAAAGAAUCCAUAUGAUUACAUUUCUAGUUGGUUUAAGAAGUUCACCUAUUUAGAGGCAUACACACACAUGCUUACUCUUGUGAAUAACAGGAAAUUUUUAAAGAAAUCAUGAAAAGGAGCACCUCUCCCAACCAAAAAUGAAAGAAAACUAGGAAGACCACGUAAGAAUAGGAUUAAAGAGGAUGGUGAACCAAACAGUGGAAGUACAUAACUGAGUAGAAAAGGUAGGAUAAUGACAUGUCAAGCUUGUUUUGAAAAAGGUCAUAAUAGGAACACUUGCAAGCUUAUACAAAUGAAUAGUCAUAGUGCACUAGUUAGAGGAGAUGAUGGUAUGGUAUUCAUUCCUGUACCAACUUUCAAUAGAGGGACUCUUGAGUCGAAGAUGACAAGCAAUGUCAUAGAAACACCGGUGAAUGUAGCAACAGACGAUCCUUUGAGGCCAUCCAAUUCUGAGAUAAGAAGGGGCAGAAGUCAGCAACAACAACGAGAUAACUCAAUAGAUAUUGGACCUCAAGUUGAACAAAAUACAGGAAUUCAACAAACCUCAACACUGAUUUUCAAUAAGUAGAUAUACUAUAAGUCUAGGAAGAGACGGGCACAAAAAAGGAACAUUGAGGCAGUUGCAGUUGCAAUGUCAGCACAAGUUGGAGUUGUUACAAGAAAGAAGAAUAAAGCUAUCAAUGACCAAGCAAAUGAUUAUGUAGGCACUCAAGAAUCAACAGCAAGGCAGUGAUGGAAAGAAAGAAGAAGAAAUAUGAUUUUGUGUAUUAUUGACUCUUGUGCUCCAUAUUUUGUAGUUAAGCCCAUUGUUCUUUAAGCAAGGCAAGAAAUGAUUAUGCUUGCUGUUGAACUUAUUUUGUAGGAAUGAUAGCCAUUGUCAAACUUUAAGAUGCAAUUAUUCGCUGCAAAAGUUGAACAAUUUAUGU